Molecule: ribosomal RNA, 492 nt
Filed under: uncultured bacterium
Lineage: Bacteria
Description: partial 16S ribosomal RNA
Rfam family: Bacterial small subunit ribosomal RNA
Source: RNAcentral
AGUGAACGCUGGCGGUAGGCCUAACACAUGCAAGUCGAACGGCAGCACAGUAAGAGCUUGCUCUUACGGGUGGCGAGUGGCGGACGGGUGAGGAAUACAUCGGAAUCUACUUUUUCGUGGGGGAUAACGUAGGGAAACUUACGCUAAUACCGCAUACGACCUACGGGUGAAAGCAGGGGAUCUUCGGACCUUGCGCGAUUGAAUGAGCCGAUGUCGGAUUAGCUAGUUGGCGGGGUAAAGGCCCACCAAGGCGACGAUCCGUAGCUGGUCUGAGAGGAUGAUCAGCCACACUGGAACUGGGCAACGGUCCAGACUCCUACGGGAGGCAGCAGUGGGGAAUAUUGGACAAUGGGCGCAAGCCUGAUCCAGCAAUACCGCGUGGGUGAGGAAGGCCUUCGGGUUGUAAAGCCCUUUUGUUGGGAAAGAAAAGCAGCAGGUUAAUACCCCGCUGUUCUGACGGUACCCAAAGAAUAAGCACCGGCUAACUUCGUG